UACGUAGGGGGCAAGCGUUGUCCGGAUUUAUUGAGCGUAAAGCGCUUGUAGGCGGUCCACCAAGUUUGGGGUGACAGUUGCCGACUUAAUCGGCAAAGUGCCUCAAAGACUGGCGGACUUGAGGGCCACAGAGGGACAUGGAACUCCAGGUGUAGUGGUGAAAUGCGUAGAUAUCUGGAAGAACACCAAAGGCGAAGGCAGUGUCCUGGGUGGUCGCUGACGCUGAGAGGCGAAAGCCAGGGGAGCGAACGGG
This 253-nucleotide ribosomal RNA is filed under the name uncultured bacterium. Its description in RNAcentral is "partial 16S ribosomal RNA". It matches the Rfam family "Bacterial small subunit ribosomal RNA", at positions 524 to 776 of the family's 1533-position model. The record is from RNAcentral.